CCUUUUAACGUUUUGGAUACAUUACAAAUAGAAGCCAGAUAUAACUACAUUGGUUAGACGUAUAAAGAGGGGCAUGAGAUAUCCCUAAACAUGUUUAACACUGCCGCAUUUGUUGCACCUGCAUGUCCGUAACCUUUGCUACAUUUGUAUAUAGUCUUGUAUUUAUUUCAUUUUUUAAAUUUUGGUUCAUUUAUAUGUUUCAAGAACAAACAUUGAACUUCUACCCCCUUUUUGUAGUUAAAUGAUUGCUCACUUAGGAGACAGCUUCAGGUAUAUCAAUACACAAGUACAAGUUUAGUUUCGCAUUAUAGCCAUGGUGAAUUUUCUAAAUAUGAAAGUUUUUGUACAAUUGAAUUGAUUUUGGAUAUUUGGAUAAUAGUAUAUCCUUCCUAGUGGGUUUAUAUGAACAUUUAGAUUGUUUUUAGCAUGUUUUAUAAGCCAUUUUUCAGUUUGAACGUCCAUACGUUCCUAUCCGUACCGCCAUAGAUUUAGAAAUUUUGUAUUGUUUUUUCAACAAAGAUUUGACGCUCGAUCUUUUCAAUUCAAUUUUAUGGAAAAAACAGCAGAAAUGCAUAUGAUUUUUUUUUUACCUUUUGAUAG
This 600-nucleotide long non-coding RNA is filed under the name Mytilus galloprovincialis (Mediterranean mussel). Lineage: Eukaryota; Metazoa; Mollusca; Bivalvia; Mytilida; Mytilidae. The record is from RNAcentral.